CUCGCCCCCCGGCCUGUCCUGUCCCUCCGGAGGGAGUGAGGUUAUCUUUUCUGUUAUCUGGGCCUCAAGACAAGCUGCCGAAAGUCAGAAAUAGAAGGCAAAAAUGAGAAUAAAACGAAAAACACACCUCAGGGGAGGAGACCGACAACCUGGAGGGGCAGGAGCAGUGCCUGGGAAUGCAUCCAGGGCCGUGCCACCACAAACCACCUCUGGGUGGGUCAACGUACUCUGGGCAGAGGCCACAAAGGGCCCGUGCUUAGGGUUAAUGGGGAAAGUACCAGCGUAGGAAAUCACGGAGUCCGCGUGGUAACUGUUGGAGUUUAUCUACCCCGAAAAGCAGUUUUGGCACGAUCCCCUUUUUGUGUGAUUUGUGCACCACCUUCCCCGUCGUGAGAUCACAAAACUUCUGCUAAAAGUCUUGGGGUACUCUUCUGCCAGCGGCAAAACCAAACGCAUUCACGUGGAGAUUCUGAGAGAAGACUGAAAAACUCUUUGCCGGCAACUCGACAGGCAUGGACAGGCGUGGGCGAGUGGCCAAUCCUCAUCUCAGGUAACCCGCACGGCUGCCCAAGGAGAUCGACACUUCGGUUUCCAUCUCACCGCGGCGGAAAUACAACUAGUAACCGCGUGUGCCAGGAUCUGAACCCAAGGGGGCCUGUUUCCAAAGUCCAUGUGCCAUGCUGAAGACAGUCUUGGCCGAUCAGGUCAGAUCAAGGAGGGAACAUGCCAAAUGGGGGAGAAAAGACUGCAAUAAACUCACGGUGUUUGUUUGUAUGCCACACUCAAACAAUUUAGUCAGGGGAAGAAAAAGAAAAGCGCUCUCUUCCCUGGCCAAUGGCACAUUUCUCUGUAAGUAAACACGCUAUCUGUUUAUGUCCCAGAGACCCUGAGCAGCUGAUGCCCAAGCAGGGCAGUACACAGCUUUGCAAAAAAAGCACCCGCAGCCCCCAGAUCCCAUUUUCAUCCUCAGGUCAUAUAUGUCUUCCCCACAACCAACUGACAAACAAAUUAACAGACUAAAAAAAAUCCUAAAUCUGGAGACGGCGAGCUACUGAUAAUUUCUACCCUUAGAUGGCUUACCACGUAGAAGCUACAAACAGAGCUGCAGGAGUGAGUCCCCGGGGAGGCCAUCACCCUGAAAGGAAAGUGGCAGCCCGCUCAGGAUUUCCCUUCUCUGCACCAGGAGGUGAAGCAGCCCAAAGCGGCCUCGCUUCCACACUGAGGGAGGAGCCGGGCCUCUUCCCACUGAGCGAGGUUUGUUCUAGGGCCUACAGGAAGCUUUGGGAGGCUGGGGGCUCUCUAAUUUCCUGAACACUCUUGGACUCGUCUGGUGCUCUCAAAACCAGGCCAGCGGGGGAAAUGAACCGAGCUGCUCAGCCUCACCCCUCCUUGGCACUUACUCGGUUCUGAAAGGGCUCAGGAUGCUGACUGGCCGGCUCUAAAAAUCCUACGGCCUUCCCCCCGCCCCAAGCUGCUUUCCAUCCAUUACCAAGGCCCGGCCAAUUCGAGCCACGUGAUUGACUGGCAUCUGACCCAACCUGGGCCAAGGAGAGUCUGCCCCAGGAUUCACGCUACAGCCACUGGAAAGGAUAUUCUCUUUUUGCUGGCUUGCCAAAUGGGUAGGACGUAAACCUGGAGCCUUUGGUGGCUCUGGCCACCACGUGAGAAGCACCUACCCGAGGACGAGCCAAAACGGAGGAAAAAGCGGCUGAGACAUGGAGAGGGACGAAUCUCCGACAACACCAUCUGGGGACGUGGUUUCAUUAAAACCAGAUCCUUCCCGGGAUUCUGAGUUACAUAAGAGAAUAAAUUACCUGUUUUUCUGGGUU
Long non-coding RNA from Felis catus (domestic cat), 1829 nucleotides. RefSeq lists it as uncharacterized. The record is from RefSeq and is a predicted model, not a curated record. Lineage: Eukaryota; Metazoa; Chordata; Mammalia; Carnivora; Felidae. The transcript has 2 exons.